This 450-nucleotide ribosomal RNA is filed under the name uncultured bacterium. RNAcentral describes it as "partial 16S ribosomal RNA". It matches the Rfam family "Bacterial small subunit ribosomal RNA", at positions 354 to 796 of the family's 1533-position model. The record is from RNAcentral.
GUGGGGAAUUUUGGACAAUGGGCGCAAGCCUGAUCCAGCAAUGCCGCGUGCAGGAAGAAGGCCUUCGGGUUGUAAACUGCUUUUGUACGGAACGAAACGGUCCUGGUUAAUACCUGGGGCUAAUGACGGUACCGUAAGAAUAAGCACCGGCUAACUACGUGCCAGCAGCCGCGGUAAUACGUAGGGUGCGAGCGUUAAUCGGAAUUACUGGGCGUAAAGCGUGCGCAGGCGGUGCUGUAAGACAGGCGUGAAAUCUCCGUGCUCAACCUGGGAAUUGCGCUUGUGACUGCAGUGCUGGAGUACGGCAGAGGGGGAUGGAAUUCCGCGUGUAGCAGUGAAAUGCGUAGAUAUGCGGAGGAACACCGAUGGCGAAGGCAGUCCCCUGGGCAUGUACUGACGCUCAUGCACGAAAGCGUGGGGAGCAAACAGGAUUAGAUACCCUUGUAGUCC